RNAcentral lists this ribosomal RNA (253 nucleotides) under uncultured bacterium. Its description in RNAcentral is "partial 16S ribosomal RNA". It matches the Rfam family "Bacterial small subunit ribosomal RNA", at positions 524 to 776 of the family's 1533-position model. The record is from RNAcentral.
UACGAAGGGGGCUAGCGUUGCUCGGAAUCACUGGGCGUAAAGGGCGCGUAGGCGGAUCUUUAAGUCGGGGGUGAAAGCCCAGGGCUCAACCCUGGAAUGGCCUUCGAUACUGGAGAUCUUGAGACCGGAAGAGGUAAGUGGAACUGCGAGUGUAGAGGUGAAAUUCGUAGAUAUUCGCAAGAACACCAGUGGCGAAGGCGGCUUACUGGUCCGGUUCUGACGCUGAGGAGCGAAAGUGUGGGGAGCGAACAGG